AACAAGGAUUCCCCUAGUAACUGCGAGUGAAGCGGGAAAAGCUCAAAUUUAAAAUCUGGCGGUCUUUUGCCGUCCGAGUUGUAAUCUAGAGAAGUAAUGCCCGUGCUGGACCGUGUAUAAGUCUCCUGGGAUGGGGCGUCAUAGAGGGUGAGAAUCCCGUCUUUGACACGGACUACCAGUGCAUUGUGGUAUGCUCUCAAAGAGUCGAGUUGUUUGGGAAUGCAGCUCAAAAUGGGUGGUAAAUUCCAUCUAAAGCUAAAUAUUGGCGAGAGACCGAUAGCGAACAAGUACCGUGAGGGAAAGAUGAAAAGAACUUUGGAAAGAGAGUUAAACAGUACGUGAAAUUGCUGAAAGGGAAACGCUUGAAGUCAGUCGCGUUGGCCAGGGAUCAGCCUUGCUUUUGCAUGGUGUAUUUUCUGGUUAACGGGUCAGCAUCAAUUUUGACCACUGGAAAAGGGCCUGGGGAAUGUGGCAGCUUAGGCUGUGUUAUAGCCCCUGGUCGCAUACAGUGGUUGGGAUUGAGGAACUCAGCACGCCGCAAGGCCGGGUUU
This 551-nucleotide ribosomal RNA is filed under the name Agaricus bitorquis. RNAcentral describes it as "LSU rRNA". It matches the Rfam family "Eukaryotic large subunit ribosomal RNA", at positions 67 to 618 of the family's 3401-position model. The record is from RNAcentral. Lineage: Eukaryota; Fungi; Basidiomycota; Agaricomycetes; Agaricales; Agaricaceae.